UAAGGGCUGUGUAAGAGACGAAAAGUUGGGGGGCCUUUGGGGAUAUUGUUACAAUAUGUGAGAGGGUAUUAGAGAGGGAUAUUUCUCUCUCUCUCUCUCUCUCUCUCUCUCUUCUCUCCCUCAGCCACUUUCUCUCUCCCUCUCUCUUAUCGUGCGAAGGAGGAAAGGAAGAAAGGAAAGAAAAGAGAAAGGAGAAGAGAAGAAGAAAAUGAGAAAGGAAAGGAAAGGAAGGAGAGGACCAAGGAGGAGAU
RNAcentral lists this long non-coding RNA (251 nucleotides) under Ananas comosus (pineapple). Its description in RNAcentral is "long non-coding RNA (ACOM_LNC005305)". The record is from RNAcentral. Lineage: Eukaryota; Viridiplantae; Streptophyta; Magnoliopsida; Poales; Bromeliaceae.